Non-coding RNA from Gasterosteus aculeatus aculeatus (three-spined stickleback), 818 nucleotides. The record is from RefSeq and is a predicted model, not a curated record. NCBI's taxonomy places the organism in Eukaryota, Metazoa, Chordata, Actinopteri, Perciformes, Gasterosteidae.
AGAAGAAGAAUAAGAAGAGGAAGAAGAAGAAUCGACCCGUUUCCAGUAACUUCUCCGGACAUUUUGUAGCAACAUUGUUCACUUUUGAUCUCAACUCGUUUCCGUGCAAAUCGCUCCUGGAUUCCUCUAAAGAAGACCAGCGACAUUCUUGAGUCGGAUGUGAUUUUUUUCUUCUUUAUGUCUUAGUUUUGAACUUUCUGCUCGUUUUGCUUCAAAUAAUUAUCCACCAGCUUCGGUGCUUUGGCUCAGCACCACCUUCCUCUGGCCUCCACCUUCAGCUUCUUAUCGCAUUUUGUCGCACAGCUGAUUGAGAGAAACUCGUGUUUCUGUUUCUCUUCACGGAGUCGUUGCUUCUAUUCUCGUCAUCUGAUCUGAACCAACUAGUCCAGCUGGUUCCACCCAGCUCGCCUCCAUUUACCCUCCGAGAGAAGCGACCCCACCCUUUAGUUCACCUCCACCCUUUAGUUCACCUCCACCCUUUAGUUCACCUCCACCCUUCAUCCGCAACGCACAAUCCGCCAGAGAAGCGUCCUCAAGCGGAUCUGGAUCCAUAAAAACUCUUUUCUUUCACUCUUUACGUUUGUGUUUUUUGUUUCCUUUUGUUUCCUCGUGAGUCAAACCGGAGAAACAGGAAGUGAAACGUUCUUCACUUCCUGGUUUCAUCGUCCAGCUUCCAUUCUGCACAAUGAGGUCGUGCGUCGUUCUUCUCUUUGCUUCUCUGCUCACAUUAUGUGAAGCACAAGGAACCAUUGUGACUCCUGUGUUUGUGCUGAAGGGACGUGAUCUGCUCCUCAAGCUUCAUGCUGAUCCUCCUGAGG